Haliotis rubra (blacklip abalone) is the source of this 292-nucleotide long non-coding RNA. RefSeq lists it as uncharacterized. The transcript has 3 exons. The record is from RefSeq and is a predicted model, not a curated record. NCBI's taxonomy places the organism in Eukaryota, Metazoa, Mollusca, Gastropoda, Lepetellida, Haliotidae.
UGGAGGACUCGCAGUUCCGACUUUAGGAUAUCUUUUGGCAAAUGUUGCUUACCAUGCUGUUCUCACUAAUGACGAGAUUCUAUCUGGAAUUGCUGUAGCCUAUGUAUUUGGAGAAAGGAAGCUGGGAUUCUUCAAGUGGGUUAUCCUUGCGUGUGUGGCAGCAUCAGCUGGAGGGAUUGCGAACAUUAACGUCUUCAUUUUCAGCAGAACGUACUUUGUGGGGGGUCGUGAUGGACUCUUUCCUCGCUUCCUCAGCAUGAUCAACAUACACAGAAAAACUCCACAACCUGCG